RNAcentral lists this ribosomal RNA (470 nucleotides) under uncultured organism. RNAcentral describes it as "partial 16S ribosomal RNA". It matches the Rfam family "Bacterial small subunit ribosomal RNA", at positions 335 to 797 of the family's 1533-position model. The record is from RNAcentral.
ACUCCUGCGGGAGGCAGCAGUGGGGAAUAUUGCACAAUGGGCGCAAGCCUGAUGCAGCCAUGCCGCGUGUAUGAAGAAGGCCUUCGGGUUGUAAAGUACUUUCAGCGGGGAGGAAGGCGAUAAGGUUAAUAACCUUGUUGAUUGACGUUACCCGCAGAAGAAGCACCGGCUAACUCCGUGCCAGCAGCCGCGGUAAUACGGAGGGUGCAAGCGUUAAUCGGAAUUACUGGGCGUAAAGCGCACGCAGGCGGUCUGUCAAGUCGGAUGUGAAAUCCCCGGGCUCAACCUGGGAACUGCAUUCGAAACUGGCAGGCUAGAGUCUUGUAGAGGGGGGUAGAAUUCCAGGUGUAGCGGUGAAAUGCGUAGAGAUCUGGAGGAAUACCGGUGGCGAAGGCGGCCCCCUGGACAAAGACUGACGCUCAGGUGCGAAAGCGUGGGGAGCAAACAGGAUUAGAAACCCGGGUAGUCCC